ACCCAAAUAUUGGUUCUGAUGGGUCAAUGGGUUUCUGAUGGGUCCAUGGGUUUCUGAUGGGAUCCAGAUUGGUUCUUGAUGGGUCCCAAUGGGUUCUGAUGCGUCCCAAUGGUUCUGAUGGGCAAUGCUGACCCAAUAUUGGUUCUGAUGGGUCCAAUUGGUUCUGAUGGGUCCAAUGGGUUCUGAUGGGUCCAAUGGGUUCUGAUGGGUCCAAUUGGUUCUGAUGGGUCCCAAUGGGUUCUGAUGGGUCCCAAGGGUUCUGAUGGGUCCAAUUGGUUUCUCGAUUGGGUCCAAUUUAUGACCAUAUUGGCUUUCUGAUGGGUCCAUUGGCCGCCAUCUUCAGUGUCCAAAGCCAAUGGCUGCCAUCUUGUGUCACCAAUGGCCGCCAUCUUGGGUGUCCAAAGCCAAUGGCCGCCAUCUUGGGUGCAAUCCCAAUGGCCCGCCAUCUUCUGCUGUCAUCAAAGCCAAUUGAUCCAACUGGCAUGGCGCUGUCAUCUGGGAUGUCCAAAAGCCAAAUGGCCGCCAUCUUGUGUCAUCAAAGCCAAUGUCCAAUGGCAAUGGCCACCAUCUUGGGUGUCCUAAGCCAAUGGCCGCCAUCUUGUGUCACCAAUGGCCGCCAUCUUGGGUGUCCAAACCCAAUGGCCGCCAUCUUGUGUCACCAAUAGCCGCCAUCUUGGGUUGUCCAAAUCUCCAAUGGCUGCCAGUUCUUGGCGUGUCCCACAUCCAAUGGCCGCCCAUUUGUG
This 743-nucleotide long non-coding RNA is filed under the name Coturnix japonica (Japanese quail). RNAcentral's name for it is "lncRNA (ENSCJPG00005000247.1)". Lineage: Eukaryota; Metazoa; Chordata; Aves; Galliformes; Phasianidae. The record is from RNAcentral.